Molecule: ribosomal RNA, 546 nt
Filed under: Blastocystis sp. subtype 14
Lineage: Eukaryota; Bigyra; Opalinata; Blastocystidae
Description: SSU rRNA
Rfam family: Eukaryotic small subunit ribosomal RNA
Source: RNAcentral
UAUAAAUAAUUCUACUUUGAAACUGCGAAUGGCUCAUUAUAUCAGUUAUAGUUUAUUAGAAAUAAUUUACUACUUGGAUAACCGUAGUAAUUCUAGGGCUAAUACAUGAGUAAAUCCUCGACUUUGAAGAGGUGUGUUUAUUAGUAUGAAAACCAUAUGCUUUUGCAUAAUAGUGAGUAAUAAUAACCUUUCAUAUCGUAUGUUGUAAUAACGAUAGUUCUUUCAAGUUUCUGCCCUAUCAGCUUUCGAUGGUAGUGCAUUGGACUACCAUGGCAGUAACGGGUAACGAAGAAUUUGGGUUCGAUUUCGGAGAGGGAGCCUGAGAGAUGGCUACCACAUCCAAGGAAGGCAGCAGGCGCGUAAAUUACCCAAUCCUGACAUAGGGAGGUAGUGACAAUAAAUCACAAUGCGGGACUUUUAGUUUUGCAAUUGGAUUGAGAACAAUGUAAAAGAGUUAUCGAUAAACAAUUGGAGGGCAAGUCUGGUGCCAGCAGCCGCGGUAAUUCCAGCUCCAAUAGCGUAUAUUAACGUUGUUGCAGUUAAAAA